UAUUAAGCUUUGCUCCUACGAGAUGGGUGGGUUUUUAUUAUGUUACACACAAAGCUAACUGGCUAUUGUUAGCCUGUACGUAAGCUAGCAGACAUUAAAUAGGUAAACACUGCUCAGAGACUUAUUAGGCAAUUUUUAGAGGGACU
Molecule: long non-coding RNA, 146 nt
Organism: Etheostoma spectabile (orangethroat darter)
Lineage: Eukaryota; Metazoa; Chordata; Actinopteri; Perciformes; Percidae
Exons: 3
Source: RefSeq, a predicted model, not a curated record